This 76-nucleotide transfer RNA is filed under the name Phyllobacteriaceae bacterium. RNAcentral's name for it is "tRNA-Thr". It matches the Rfam family "tRNA". From Rfam's summary of the family: Transfer RNA (tRNA) molecules are approximately 80 nucleotides in length. Their secondary structure includes four short double-helical elements and three loops (D, anti-codon, and T loops). The record is from RNAcentral. Lineage: Bacteria; Pseudomonadati; Pseudomonadota; Alphaproteobacteria; Hyphomicrobiales; Phyllobacteriaceae. RNAcentral also lists the same sequence under 4 other names.
GCCGCGGUAGCUCAGCCGGUAGAGCACGUCAUUCGUAAUGAUGGGGUCGGGGGUUCGAAUCCCUUCCGCGGCACCA